AUGGCCAUUAACAAGUUCAAGAUUGAUAUAUAUGUAAACGUAAUUAUGAAAAUCUAAAAUGAAAUCUAUAUGAAAUUGGAUAAAGUUGUCAUUCUUUGAUGGUGAACCCCGGUGAAUGUAAUACAAUACACAUUUCUUUGUUGUUUUUUUUUUUGUUUUUUUUGCAUUAUUUAUAUAUUGGUAUUGGAAUAUUGAUCAGUAUUGAGUCCCAUUUGGGAAUUGUCUUUCUUUGGUACCGUUAAACUUGCGCACGGGAAUAUUAUCGACUGAAUGCAGGAUAUAGAAAGUUAAAUAUUUAAAGAGAUGAGAAAAAAGAAGGCGACCUUGUCCCUUACACGGACAAAGCGAUAUCGGUCAAACAAGGAGUACAGGACUGCACUGAAAGCAAGUCAUCCUGUUGAUGGACCGUCAAAGUCACCACCACAGCCUAAGAUAUCAAAUAUCUUCAAGAAAAGGAAGUUCAGAUCUCCUGUGAAGUCACCCAUGACUAGGAAAUUCAUGACACCGACAAAGUCACCACACAGAAAAGGGUUUCGUCAACUGCAGUUUGGAACACCUUGUGAUAACAGUGUUGGCUCGAGUGAGGUUGGCGUCUUCUCUUCACUUUUACCAGUCUCACGAGAAAUGGUAUUGACGUCGCCACCGGACAAUAUUGGCUCACCUGGGUACAAUGAAAUCCCAAACGAUAUAAGUGUUAGCUCGAGUCAGGCUGAGAUCUUUACUGCAGUGGGUCCAAUCUCACCAGUAAUGCUGCUUACUUCAUCACCGCCCACUAUUGAAUCACCUGAGACAGAGUACACUGACAUUCCAAAUGAUAACAGUGUCAACGAUCCUAGUGAGCCCAAGGAUACGAUAAUUUGAACAUAAUAAGUUGAUUAAGUUGCUGUGUUUUUCUUUGAAAUAUCCGUAUUUAAUUUUGUAAGGGAUUGUGUAUGACAAAAUUAGAGUAUAUCUAAUCAUUAAUUCCACAUGGUAAAAUAGUCCAAAAUAAUAGUCAACAAGAAAAUAUCAAGCGUAAAGAUAUAACAAAAUUGUCGGAUGGAUAAUGUGACAAAGACAGUUCCAUAUCCGUACAAGGUUGACCAUUUUUCCUAGCGCAAAUAUGUCUAAUUAAUGUAUUAUGGAUACGCAUGAAAAAGUAAUCUGUGAGACUGUGACCAUUCCUUAUCCACCUCAGUCGCCGACACUAACAUGAUCUGGACAUUGUCCUAAUUUUGGACUUAACAUUAGUCAACUUAACUUUCGUGGUUAUCUUAGAAAUCUGCGUUUUUCAUCUAGCACCAAUAACGUUGGCGUCAAAGCUUUCAUACAAUACCUGAGCUAAUUUCCCAUGGCGUAAAUUUUAUGUGCACUUAGAUACGUGUAUGUUUAACAAAGGUAUCACCCGGGCCAACACUUAAUUAAGCCAGACUUGCUUUUAUAUUCUUUAGCGCAUAGCGCACAGACGAACAUUUUCUGAAAUAUACAAUUAAUAUUUAUUAAAAGAAUAUCAGCAUAACUAGAAAAAAAAGAAAAGGAGGAAGUUCAGGUUAAUUUACAUCCUGGUGGAUCGAUUUUUUAUCACCCGUUUACAUGGUGGAUCUUUUCAUCAGCCGUUUACAUGAUGGAUCUUUUUAAAUUUUCUCUCAAAACAUCCUAAAUACAUAACCACGGGACAAACUUGAACGUUGAUGAUAGUGUAUGGGGAUUUUGAAAGACCCGACGACAAUUGUUCGAGCUCGUGCACGGUUGUAUAAGCGGCUAUUAAGCCAGACAUGCAAAUCUAUUCCGUCUACGCAGUGGAUCUUUGAGAAAAAAAUUUAAACAACGUAAUCUAUAAAACUACAAGGACUGUUAGAAAAGUAUAUACACCGGGGACACUAUAGGACAUAUAGUUCUUCAAUGCACCGAAAGAGAUUUUGCAAAACUGUUUAGUUUGAAAUGUAGCCGAAAUACAACGCAGUGUCAAGGCCGCUUCCAGCAUGGCUCCGCUCCAUAUAUACGGCAUGCAAGGGUUUCUGGAUGAAAUAGUUUUCACGGCCAUAUUUGACCUUUCCUUCGAGCCUCAAGGGAACACCCAGCUCAAGGGAUAUUCUUCAUUGUCCUCAUUCAUCAUUUAUGGAAGUUUUAGCUUUUUAUGGAGAGAUUGUAUGUGUAUUUAUACAUACAACGCGGGGUGCAGUGGUACUUUAGACUUCCAUUGUACAUGUAUACUUUACACGUGAGAAUUCACGUUCGGCUUUGUUCUAAGGCAAUUUGACGCAUGUUCCUGGGACUACAGCCACUACCCGCUGAAUCUGAUGGGACUUAUUACCCUCGUGUACGCCCCAGGGUGGUUGCUUUUAUGUGUUUAUCAAGACAUUCUCGCACAUUUUCUUC
Molecule: RNA transcript, 2358 nt
Organism: Mercenaria mercenaria
Lineage: Eukaryota; Metazoa; Mollusca; Bivalvia; Venerida; Veneridae
Exons: 6
Source: RefSeq, a predicted model, not a curated record